RNAcentral lists this ribosomal RNA (482 nucleotides) under uncultured bacterium. RNAcentral's name for it is "bacterial SSU rRNA". It matches the Rfam family "Bacterial small subunit ribosomal RNA", at positions 28 to 507 of the family's 1533-position model. The record is from RNAcentral.
GACGAACGCUGGCGGCGUGCCUAACACAUGCAAGUCGAACGGAGAACUUACGGAAUGCGACUUCGGUCAAAUGAAGUUUGUUCUUAGUGGCGGACGGGCGAGUAACGCGUGAGCAACCUGCCCUUCAGAGGGGAACAACAGUUGGAAACGACUGCUAAUACCGCAUAACGUGCUUUAGGGGCAUCCCUGAAGUACCAAAGAUUUAUCGCUGAAGGAUGGGCUCGCGUCCGAUUAGAUAGUUGGUGGGGUAACGGCCUACCAAGUCGACGAUCAGUAGCCGGACUGAGAGGUUGAACGGCCACAUUGGGGCUGAGACACGGCCCAGACUCCUACGGGAGGCAACAGUGGGGGAUAUUGCACAAUGGAGGAAACUCUGAUGCAGCAACGCCGCGUGAGGGAAGAAGGUUUUCGGAUUGUAAACCUCUGUUUUUAGUGAAGAAUAAAUGACGGUAGCUAAAGAGGAAGCCACGGCUAACUACGUG